UACAAAACAUCAUAUAUCCGUCUAUUUGACGUUUUUUUCACGUCAACAAUGUCGCAUAUGGUAGAUCUCGAUUGCUGAAACGUUGUCGCGUUGGGUAAUUUAUGAGCGUCCUUAUAUAUUUAAUGUCGCAAAGUAUACAUAUAUCAAUUUAUUCAUUAUACGUCGUUUGUGGGAAAGUAAAGGAUGAAAAAUGGAUUCAAAAUCAAGAAAUCGGAUCGUUUAUCUUAUCUUGAUGUUUGCUAGUGAUAUAUGAAAACUAUGAAGAAAAAAAAAGUAUUUUCUUGAAGUAGAGUUUAAGAUGGUGGAAUAUUGUCUGCUCUUAUAUCAUUAGCAUGAAGAGAAAUGAAACAAUCAUAAAACAUCGUCUGCAGCUGUAUCGUUGCCACCACAAAGAAACACAAACAUAAUUACCAUUGAGAUUGAAUGAAAGAUGGAAUGAGGACAGUUAAACAAAAUGUCAGAGGCUCGUAAAUAUGUAUUGCCGAAAAUCGGGAAACAAACAAAGACGUUUAUUGUUUCUGAAAGAGGAAAAAAUAAAGAAUCUCAAAAGAAUAAUUCCUCCGGCGACUGACGUUGGGGAACUGAAUGACAGCUGUCCAUUCGCCAAGAAAAGCAGGAAGUUGAAUAACUUUUCAUUAAGAAAAUAAGGAACACGAAGACUCAUUUUUCACAAAAUGAAUAAUUGAAAUGAAGACACAAAAGUGAUGAGGAAAUUGAAACAAUCCUAAAGACUGACUCCUCCAUUGUCGAAAUCCAAUAUUGGUUAUGACCUUCGUAUUUAAUAAUGAAUUACGCGUGUUCUCCAUACGGUCAGAAGAUUUAUAGAAUAUAUGUUUCGUCAAUUUGAAAUCUGUUGUAUCAGUUUUGUGUACAGAGCACAAUAAAAAAUCGGCCAUCAGG
Parasteatoda tepidariorum (common house spider) is the source of this 900-nucleotide long non-coding RNA. The record is from RefSeq and is a predicted model, not a curated record. NCBI's taxonomy places the organism in Eukaryota, Metazoa, Arthropoda, Arachnida, Araneae, Theridiidae.